Molecule: ribosomal RNA, 253 nt
Filed under: uncultured bacterium
Lineage: Bacteria
Description: partial 16S ribosomal RNA
Rfam family: Bacterial small subunit ribosomal RNA
Source: RNAcentral
UACAGAGGGUGCGAGCGUUAAUCGGAAUUACUGGGCGUAAAGCGCGCGCAGGCGGCCUUUUAAGUCUGAUGUGAAAGCCCACGGCUCAACCGUGGAAGGUCAUUGGAAACUGAAAGGCUUGAGUACAGAAGAGGAAAGCGGAAUUCCACGUGUAGCGGUGAAAUGCGUAGAGAUGUGGAGGAACACCAGUGGCGAAGGCGGCUUUCUGGUCUGUAACUGACGCUGAGGCGCGAAAGCGUAGGGAGCAAACAGG